GGCUGCCCUCGCCCGCCCCCGGGCAGGGGCGCGUCCUCCUGCCUGCGGCCCCCUUCUCUCGCGGGCCCUCGCAGGCGCUUUCCGUACAGCUGCCCCGGGAACCGCGCUGAGCCAGGUGAGCUGCAAAGGCUGACUUGGGAAAGGAACUGGUUUUAACCUGGGCGCACGUGCCGCUUCAGGUCCCCGCACGAACAGCCCUGCCACAGCGGCGCAGGAAACAGCGCGUGUCUGAGGGCGAGGAGAAAGCAGGACUGCCUUCUUCAGCAGCAGUCCUGGCUUAACGAGAGCCUCACGUUCAGACAGAAACCAAACAGCCCAAGGAAAAAGCAAAACAAAAAACCCAAAUCAGACCACCAGAUGCAGCAGAGGACACUCCCAGCAGAGCUCCAUAUGCAAAUCGGAUGUUCCACAUUAUUUGAACAACAUGAGGCAUCAAGUGUUAGGCAUUCUGAGAGUCAUUUGUUAUUGCAAGUAAGCUGUUCUACAAGGCUCUUCAGCAGAAAAAAAACCAUAUCUGUAGCAUGGCAGCAGAGUAAGAACUAA
RNAcentral lists this long non-coding RNA (543 nucleotides) under Apteryx owenii (little spotted kiwi). RNAcentral's name for it is "lncRNA (ENSAOWG00000008839.1)". Lineage: Eukaryota; Metazoa; Chordata; Aves; Apterygiformes; Apterygidae. The record is from RNAcentral.